GACAGAGGGUGCAAACGUUGUUCGGAAUUACUGGGCGUAAAGGGCGCGUAGGCGGCCUACUAAGUCGGACGUGAAAUCCCUCGGCUCAACCGGGGAACUGCGUCCGAUACUGGUGGGCUUGAAUCCGGGAGAGGGAUGUGGAAUUCCAGGUGUAGCGGUGAAAUGCGUAGAUAUCUGGAGGAACACCGGUGGCGAAGGCGGCAUCCUGGACCGGUAUUGACGCUGAUGCGCGAAAGCCAGGGGAGCAAACGGG
This 253-nucleotide ribosomal RNA is filed under the name uncultured bacterium. Its description in RNAcentral is "partial 16S ribosomal RNA". It matches the Rfam family "Bacterial small subunit ribosomal RNA", at positions 524 to 776 of the family's 1533-position model. The record is from RNAcentral.